AAACAUUGAUAGUCAAUACACCCACUAUCCGCCAGGGAACUACGAGCAUNAGCUUAAAACCCAAAGGACUUGGCGGUGCUUAAGAUCCACCUAGAGGAGCCUGUUCUAGAACCGAUUACCCCCGUUCAACCUCACCCUCCCUUGUUUUUCCCGCCUAUAUACCGCCGUCGUCAGCUUACCCCGUGAAGGCCCAAAUAGUAAGCAAACUGGUUUAACCCAAAACGUCAGGUCGAGGUGUAGCGCAUGAGAGGGGAAGAAAUGGGCUACAUUUACUACUUAGUAAACACGAAUAAUGUGCUGAAAUGUACACUUGAAGGAGGAUUUAGCAGUAAGUGGAAAAUAGAGCGUUCC
Molecule: ribosomal RNA, 351 nt
Filed under: Ctenopoma sp. WJC-2002
Lineage: Eukaryota; Metazoa; Chordata; Actinopteri; Anabantiformes; Anabantidae
Description: partial 12S ribosomal RNA
Rfam family: Bacterial small subunit ribosomal RNA
Source: RNAcentral